UACGGAGGGGGCUAGCGUUGUUCGGAAUUACUGGGCGUAAAGCGCACGUAAGCGGCUUUGUAAGUUAGAGGUGAAAGCCCAGGGCUUAACCCUGGAAUUGCCUUUAAGACUGCAUCGCUAGAAUCGUGGAGAGGUGAGUGGAAUUCCGAGUGUAGAGGUGAAAUUCGUAGAUAUUCGGAAGAACACCAGUGGCGAAGGCGACUCACUGGACACGUAUUGACGCUGAGGUGCGAAAGCGUGGGGAGCAAACAGG
RNAcentral lists this ribosomal RNA (253 nucleotides) under uncultured bacterium. Its description in RNAcentral is "partial 16S ribosomal RNA". It matches the Rfam family "Bacterial small subunit ribosomal RNA", at positions 524 to 776 of the family's 1533-position model. The record is from RNAcentral.